This 2427-nucleotide ribosomal RNA is filed under the name Clostridioides difficile. RNAcentral's name for it is "bacterial LSU rRNA". It matches the Rfam family "Bacterial large subunit ribosomal RNA", at positions 334 to 2780 of the family's 2925-position model. Lineage: Bacteria; Bacillati; Bacillota; Clostridia; Peptostreptococcales; Peptostreptococcaceae. The record is from RNAcentral.
UGAAGAGGUUUGGAAAGACCCACCACAGAAGGUAAUAGUCCUGUAUGUUAAACGAGAAGACUUUAGAUAUGAUCCAGAGUACCACGGGACACGUGAAACCCUGUGGGAAGCAGGAGGGACCACCCUCCAAGGCUAAAUACUACCUAGUGACCGAUAGCGUAUAGUACCGUGAGGGAAAGGUGAAAAGAACCCCGGGAGGGGAGUGAAAUAGAACCUGAAACCCUGCACUUACAAGCUGUGGAAGCACAUUUCUUGUGUGACCGCGUACUUUUUGUAGAACGGGCCAACGAGUUACGUUAAGUAGCAAGGUUAAGCACUUAAGGUGCGGAGCCGUAGCGAAAGCGAGUUUUAACUGAGCGUUCAGUUACUUGACGUAGACCCGAAACCGGGCGACCUACCCAUGAGCAGGAUGAAGCGAAAGUAAAAUUUCGUGGAGGUCCGAACCCACGAGCGUUGAAAAGCUCGGGGAUGACUUGUGGGUAGCGGUGAAAUUCCAAUCGAGCCCGGAGAUAGCUGGUUCUCCCCGAAAUAGCUUUAGGGCUAGCCUCAAGGUGAGAGAUACGGAGGUAGAGCACUGAAUGUCCUAGGGGGUAUUGCACCUACCGAAGACUAUCAAACUCCGAAUGCCGUCAUCUUAUACUUGGGAGUCAGACUGUGGGUGAUAAGAUUCAUAGUCGAAAGGGCAACAGCCCAGAUCGUCAGCUAAGGUCCCUAAAUGUAAGUUAAGUGGUAAAGGAUGUGGGAUUGCACAGACAACCAGGAUGUUGGCUUAGAAGCAGCCACUCAUUCAAAGAGUGCGUAAUAGCUCACUGGUCGAGUGAUCCUGCGCCGAAGAUUUCCGGGGCUAAAACUUACUACCGAAGCUACGGCAUCAGUAAUGAUGGGUAGGGGAGCUUCCCAUACGGGUUGAAGCAUGACCGUAAGGACAUGUGGACAGUAUGGGAGUGAGAAUGUUGGCAUGAGUAGCGAGAUGUGGGUGAGAAUCCCACAGGCCGUAAACCCAAGGUUUCCAGGGGAAGGUUCGUCCGCCCUGGGUUAGUCGGGACCUAAGCUGAGGCCGAAAGGCGUAGGUGAUGGACAACAGGUUGAUAUUCCUGUACUACCGAUAACCGUUUGAGAGAAGGGAUGACACAGUAGGAUAAGCUAAGCACACUGUUGGUUAUGUGUGCCCAAGCAUUGAGGCAGUCAAAGUAGGCAAAUCCGCUUUGAUAAUGCUGGGAUGUGAUGGGGAGCGAAAUUUAGUAGCGAAGUAGCUGAUUUCACACUGUCAAGAAAAGUCUCUAUCGAGGUUAAAGGUACCCGUACCGCAAACCGACACAGGUGGGUGAGGAGAGUAUCCUAAGGCCAGCGAGAGAACUGUUGUUAAGGAACUCGGCAAAAUGACCCCGUAACUUAGGGAUAAGGGGUGCCACCAUCAGGUGGCCGCAGAGAAUAGGCCCAAGCGACUGUUUACCAAAAACAUAGGUUUCUGCUAAGUCGCAAGACGAUGUAUAGGAGCUGACGCCUGCCCGGUGCUGGAAGGUUAAGGGGAUCUGUUAGAGCAAUCGAAGCAGUGAACUUAAGCCCCAGUAAACGGCGGCCGUAACUAUAACGGUCCUAAGGUAGCGAAAUUCCUUGUCGGGUAAGUUCCGACCCGCACGAAAGGCGUAACGAUUUGGGCACUGUCUCAACAACAGACUCGGUGAAAUUGUAAUUCCGGUGAAGAUGCCGGAUACCUGCGACAGGACGGAAAGACCCCAUGGAGCUUUACUGUAGCUUGACAUUGGGUCUUGGUACUACAUGUACAGGAUAGGUGGGAGGCUUUGAAACCAGGACGCCAGUUUUGGCGGAGCCAUCCUUGGGAUACCACCCUUGUAGUACUGGGACUCUAACCAUAGGCCAUGAAUCUGGUCUUGGGACACUGUCAGGUGGGCAGUUUGACUGGGGCGGUCGCCUCCCAAAAGGUAACGGAGGCGCUCAAAGGUUCUCUCAGUACGGUCGGAAAUCGUACGUAGAGUGUAAAGGCAAAAGAGAGCUUGAUUGCAAGACAUACAGGUCGAGCAAGGAUGAAAAUCGGACUUAGUGAUCCGGUGGUUCUGCGUGGAAGGGCCAUCGCUCAACGGAUAAAAGCUACCCUGGGGAUAACAGGCUUAUCUCCCCCAAGAGUCCACAUCGACGGGGAGGUUUGGCACCUCGAUGUCGGCUCAUCACAUCCUGGGGCUGUAGUAGGUCCCAAGGGUUGGGCUGUUCGCCCAUUAAAGUGGUACGCGAGCUGGGUUCAGAACGUCGUGAGACAGUUCGGUCCCUAUCCGUCGCAGGCGUAGGAAAUUUGAGAAGACCUGUCCUUAGUACGAGAGGACCGGGAUGGACGUACCUCUGGUGUACCAGUUGUUCUGCCAAGGGCAUGGCUGGGUAGCUAUGUACGGAAUGGAUAAGCGCUGAAAGCAU